Molecule: long non-coding RNA, 847 nt
Organism: Oreochromis aureus
Lineage: Eukaryota; Metazoa; Chordata; Actinopteri; Cichliformes; Cichlidae
Exons: 3
Source: RefSeq, a predicted model, not a curated record
GCCAGGUGACAGAGCUGUUGCAGACGCUGAUUACUGUGAGCCAGAGCCAUAGUGUUGUUUUGCACUGAACAGAACGGAAUUGGCCAGGUGAACCUUUUUGGGUAUGAAAAAGGAUGGCAAGCCACUGAACGGCUAGGAGCAGGACUCAUUCUGCAUUGAAGCUUCCACUGGUUGGGUAGGAAGCUAUCAAAGAUGACGCUCUGUCCCCAUUUUCCAAAUACACUGAUUUCCACAAUCAUACACACCAUUCCCCCCGUUUAUGGACAAUAGCGCUUGGACAUCUCUCAUGGACAUUCAGAUAAAACUCAUGGACUUCAGUGUGGAUCAGUGGUUUUGAUGUUAACAUGUGUUAUUUAUGGGGAACUGUUUUUUGAGAAUCUAUAUUGCUUGGUAUAAGCCAGAAGAAUUUGCUUAGUUGUCUUUGUGCACCCCCACUGGGUUUUUGAUUAAUUGAAUAGCUGCAGCAGGAGUGAUUAUUUAAGUUUUCCUUUUCUUUUCUUGUUAUUUUCCUUUGGGUUUUGGUUAAAUACAUGGUUCCUGCAAAAGCAUUUUGUGUUGUGUGUAUUUAUUAAUUACUGCCCAUCAGCUCCAGUAGCAUUCCUAAAUCUUCUGAUUAAUAAUAACCAUAAUAUUUUACUCAAUACCUAGCCUGUAUUAAUUCAUUAGCGCUUCAUCAGUGUUACAUUUCUAUUAAUAACAGUAUUGAUAUUGCAUUCAGAUGUUCAAACAUAUUGGUAUCAUAUUAGCCUUUAUUACAGGUCCAGUAAGAACCACUUCAAACUGUUGAGUUGAAUCUAUAAUCUUAAAUGUUUAUAUGCAGACUGCAUUGUGAAAGAAAGGCCUAACG